RNAcentral lists this ribosomal RNA (253 nucleotides) under uncultured bacterium. Its description in RNAcentral is "partial 16S ribosomal RNA". It matches the Rfam family "Bacterial small subunit ribosomal RNA", at positions 524 to 776 of the family's 1533-position model. The record is from RNAcentral.
UACAUGGGGUGCAAACGUUGCUCGGAAUUAUUGGGCGUAAAGCGCACGUAGGCGGCUUUGCAAGUCGGGUGUGAAAGCCCUCAGCUUAACUGAGGAAGUGCAUCCGAAACUGGCAGGCUAGAGUACCAAAGAGGGUCGCGGAAUUCCCGGUGUAGAGGUGAAAUUCGUAGAUAUCGGGAGGAACACCGGUGGCGAAGGCGGCGACCUGGGUGGAUACUGACGCUGAGGUGCGAAAGCGUGGGGAGCAAACAGG